Molecule: ribosomal RNA, 230 nt
Filed under: uncultured bacterium
Lineage: Bacteria
Description: partial 16S ribosomal RNA
Rfam family: Bacterial small subunit ribosomal RNA
Source: RNAcentral
UACGUAGGGGGCAAGCGUUGUCCGGAAUCAUUGGGCGUAAAGCGCGUGUAGGCGGUUCGAUAAGUCUGCUGUGAAAGUCCAGGGCUCAACCCUGGAAAGCCGGUGGAUACUGUCAGACUAGAGUGCGGAAGAGGCGAGUGGAAUUCCCGGUGUAGCGGUGAAAUGCGCAGAUAUCGGGAGGAACACCAAUUGCGAAGGCAGCUCGCUGGGACGUUACUGACGCUGAGACG